Galendromus occidentalis (western predatory mite) is the source of this 1120-nucleotide long non-coding RNA. RefSeq lists it as uncharacterized. Lineage: Eukaryota; Metazoa; Arthropoda; Arachnida; Mesostigmata; Phytoseiidae. The transcript is spliced from 4 exons. The record is from RefSeq and is a predicted model, not a curated record.
UAUUUGUGGCGGGUGGUUUAGCGGGUGAAUUCGAGCCUGCCGGUCAGCCCGCCACCGGUCUGCUCGCGGUCUUAGAAUCGAGGGAAGGCUUGUGAAAGAGGUUCACGUUUCUUCCGGCAAACGCCUUCUUUCACCGGGCGCAAAUGGACUAGAAGUGCUACGUUGCAGCGAAGUGUACAAGUGCGCGAUGCGGGUAUGAUAGUGGCUCUUGUCGGCAAAGCGCUGUUUUGUGCCUUCAUCGUCUGGCUGAUAAACAGACUCGCUGACCUUGCGGGCUGACCUCUUGAUAGUCUAUCAACAUAACAGCGGCUACGGCUGCGGUAGGCCCCAGAUCAGCAACGGUGACCAACCACUACAAACAAGGAGCUCCUAAAACCUCAUCCACAAGAACAGCGAGAACGACAUGAGCUACCGAAGCAGCUACGGGACUGGGUACUCGUCGUCGUUCAGACGCCCGUACACGCCGUCGUCGUACUCAUCGUAUUCACCUUCGUCGUAUUCACCCUCAUCGUAUUCCUCGUCUUCUCUCGGCUCCUCGCUCUACAGACCCUCGACGUACUCGUCCUACGCCCCGACGUACAGACGACCGUCGUUCGGCUCGAGCUCCUUCACGUCGAGGCAAAACAAUUCUUCGGAGAAUCUAUCUGGAAGCGGCGCCGAUGACGAUGUAUAUAGCUCGAGGAAUUCUGGCAGCCCGACAAGUCUGAGGAAAUCGAAUUUUUCCAGAAGUUUAGGAAAUCUGAGUUGUGCCAGCUUCGAAGAUGACGACAGCGAUCAUCAGCUACGCGACGGGCGCUCGAGAACUUCAAGCGACUUGGACUACAAAGAGAUGUACGAAACCGAAAAAUCCCUACGGCUGUCGGAACAAGCUACGCUAAUCGAGGAGUUGGAAUCUCAAAUCGAAUUGCGGAAACGGAUCAUUCUCCUAUUUGAACAGCUGACACCGCUCGAAGAAGAAAUAGACCAGGAGAAGGAACGUUGCAAUUUACUCGAGCAACUGAAAACUCUUCGCGAAGAGCAUGAUCGUCUAGUGAAACAGCAGCAGCCGACUUCGCAGAAACCCCAGGCGAGAGCGCCCAUCCAGAACAAUAGAACCGCAUUCGGAAGUAGAAGAUUCUGA